UCUUGACCAAAUUACGUGCCAGCAGUCGCGGCAACACGCAGAAGACAAGUGUUAUUCAUCUUUAAUCGGUUUAAAGGGUACCUAGACGGAAAAUCAAGCCAUAGUAGGGACUAAUUUUCUAGAGUUUUAUGGAAGAAAGUCGAAUAUCUGGAGUAGAGAUAAAAUAUAAUGAUACCAGAGAGACGGGUAACGGCAUAGGCAACUUUCUAUGUAAAAACUGACGUUGAGAGACGAAGCCCUGGGUAACGAUAAGGAUUAGAUACCCCAGUAGUCCAGGGAGACAAUGAUGAGUGUCAUAGGCUAGAAAACCUAGUAUAUAAAUGAAAGUGCAAGCACUCCACCUUAAGACUAAAGCGGCAACGCCCAAAUUGAAAUCAUUAGACCGUUCCUGAAACCAGUAGUGAAGUAUGUUAUUUAAUUCGAUGAUCCGCGAAUAACCUUACCACGUUUUGAAUAUUUGAUUGAUACAAGCGCUGCACGGCUGUCUUUAGUUAAUGUCGUGAGAUUUUGGUUAACUCCUUUAAUUAACGCAAACCCUUGUUUUAUUUACAU
This 552-nucleotide ribosomal RNA is filed under the name Agonimia vouauxii. RNAcentral's name for it is "bacterial SSU rRNA". It matches the Rfam family "Bacterial small subunit ribosomal RNA", at positions 491 to 1120 of the family's 1533-position model. The record is from RNAcentral. Lineage: Eukaryota; Fungi; Ascomycota; Eurotiomycetes; Verrucariales; Verrucariaceae.